RNAcentral lists this long non-coding RNA (3235 nucleotides) under Nicotiana tabacum (common tobacco). Its description in RNAcentral is "long non-coding RNA (NTAB_LNC001487)". The record is from RNAcentral. Lineage: Eukaryota; Viridiplantae; Streptophyta; Magnoliopsida; Solanales; Solanaceae.
UUGGGUCGACAAGAAGUUGUAAAGUGCCAGCUCCAGCAAUACACUAAAAAUACUGUAUAUUUAGUAGAACCUACAAAGUGCAAGCUAGCUAGGAUUGGCCAGGUUCAAUGAACCUGUAAAAAGAAUAUGUCUUGAAAUAAUAGCCCUCCAAUAUUCCAUUUAAUUUGCACGUUGAGAAUUUUAUAAAAAGACGCUCUGAUUGAUGAGAUGAACAAAUUCAAACACAAAGGUCUUACCUUGUCUUUGUUUAUAUAUAUAAUUACUCCAAUGGAUGAAACGAUUUAAUUGUUUAUUUUUGAGUCAUGUAGGUUUAUUUAGUGAUUAGUAAUUUGCGGAUAUGAAUGGUUUGGAUUUCGAAGGAUUCGCGAGCAUUGUUUGUGCCAUCCUUUAUCAUCAAACUCUCACCUUUGCCAAUAACAACUAUGAUCUAGCUCAGGUAUUUUCUCCCAUCAUUUUAAUUUGCUUGAUUUUGUUUUUUCUUCUCUAGACCUAGCUUUUCCUGAUCUCUAAUUUUCAAUUCUGCAUAAAUUGGAAAUUUAAAGCAACAAUCUGCAAAAUAAUAUUUUACUCCCUCCUUCUCAAUUUAUGUGCCUUAUGUUUCAAAAAAAAUGUCAUAGUGCAUUUUCAUUUUACUCGUACACUCUACUAUAAGAAGAUUAAUAUGACAUGUUUAAAGCUAUAAGAUUUAAAGAAUAUUCUUGAUAUGUUAUACAUAAAUUUCGUUUAAGCCCACAGUACGAUUCAAAAAUAUUGUUUAUAUUCUAAACUUCAUGCCUAAUUUAAUUGAGACACAUAAAUGAAUUUGAGGGAAUACUUGAAAAUAAUGGUAUUUACUUUGUCCGAUUGAGCUUCAUAAACAUAUUGUUUCACUGGAAUCCUAUGAAAUUGUAUUCACCCCUUAACAACCCCCCCACCCCCCCCCCCCACCCCACCCCACCCGCGAUAUUCUCCCAAUAAAAAUAAAAGGAAUCAAUUAAAAAGAUUAACUUCUGCCAAAUCCUUACCUGAACAAUUUGAUUAGUCAUGUACUUGCAUAUUAAUUCAACUUUAUGACUAUUAUAUAAUUCAACUUUGAAUUUUCUAGCAGUAAAGAGUUUAACUUAAUAUAUUGAUAAUGUAAACUUUUAACUUGUUAUUUAUCAUGUUUAAUAAGUCACAAAUUCGUGUUUGUUACGGAAAGUUAUUUAUGUAUUUACAAGUCAUCUGUAAAAUUUCUGUAGAUAAUCAUGUAUAUUAAUUAGUUAAAAUCAAUAAGGAUCUAUUGUAUUAUCGGCUUGCGGUUUGCUUUAGUUUUGAUUCAACUUUUUCCUUUGUUUAAUAUUAACUCAUACUCACAUAUUAUUGUUUUUAUUUAAUAGUACAAUAUUUAUAUCAAUUACACUAAAUUGAAAAUUAUUGGUUUGAGUCAAUCGUACAGUUCGCUGAGAAUUUUAAUGAGUGCCCUUAUCGCAAUUUCAUGAGUGGAAAGAAUAAUAUCAAUAUUUAUCAAGAGAAAUAGUACCAAAUUAAAUCUAGUAUAAACAUGAAAUAUUGUUUUCCUUACGCAGGAAACUGAGCAUCUUUACUCUGUGGCUAUAGACUAUGAAGACUUCAAGCUAUGAAGAGUAUUACGUACAAUACAUUUUCAACAUUGAGUUUAUGCAACAAACUCAUCUGAAUACCAGAAAACUUUUAAAAACAAAAGAAACCUCAAGUUUAUGCUAGCUAGCAGUUUCCUUUGACUUUGAAUAACCAAACACUGGAUUGGCUAAAAUAACUUGAAAGAGUUAUUAGGUAUCGGUCACGUAUCUGAUGAAAUAAUUGAGGUACGCAAAAGUUAGGUAGAUCGUUAAUAAAAGAAAAGAAAAGAAAAUAAAAAUUGAAAGAGUGACAGCGCGUAAAGCGUCGACUUCAUGAGUUCCCCUGUAAACUUCACUGUUAAUUGUUUUGUCUCUGAUAUUUAUCUCUUCUUUCCUCAUCGAAUAAAAGGAUAUUCUUGUUCUUUAUAAGUUGAUGAAAGUCACAGCACCUUGUUACUCCUCGAUUUGCUUUAAUUUUCCCCUUUACUCGUUUAAGCUAGUUUUCGUUUUUCCUUUUAUUUAGUUACUUUCACUUCCAUUAAGUGAGUCUAUGGGCUUAUGACGUAAUUUUCACCUUCUUCAAACGAUGUCAGCAUUAUGGGGGAAAUAUAUAGCAUGUUUGGCGAGCUUCUUCUAACCAAAAGUACUUUUGAGAAAAAAUACUUCUCAAAAUAAGCUGAUUUUUGCAGCUUGGCGCUAAUAUUUUCCUUAUAUAAAACCGUUAUCUCGUUUAAAGAACAUGUUAUAGAAAGAGCAUCUAAUAUAUAUACUCCCUAUGUCCCAACUUAUAUGAUGCAGUUUGAAUUUUUGAGAAAUGUGUUUUUCUUUCACUGUAAUUUUUUCAUAUGCCUUUUAAGUACUUUAGAUUGUUAAUUAUUGUGAGUUAUAUUAUUAUGAUGUAAUUUUUAAACUACAUAUAUAUUAUUUCAAAAAACAUAUAGAUUUUAUAUCUGAGUUUACGAUCAAAAUUAAAAAAAUUGACACCUCAAAAUCCGAAUUGCAUUAAUAAAUCGGGAUGGAGGGAGUAUAUCUUAGCGAUGCAAUGUUCUGAUUUGUUUUGUAUUGUAAUUUAGCUACUCUGGGUUUUUCUUGAACCCAGAACGAAUCCAAACACAAUGCAGUAACAGUAUCAUUGUUGUAGGGGCAUCAAAUCCAAACUGAAAAAGGCUUUUGAUCGUGACCCAAGCCCAAGCUAUGUGGGCCUAGAAUAUAGUUUCUUUUCUUUUCUUUUCCUUUUUGGAAAAAUGACAUUGUAUAGUCACUGUAAAAAUAAUGGCCGAAAAAUAGAUAAAAUUUAUAUAAUUUUUGUAUAUAACAUACAUUUUGUAUGUUAUAUAUAAAAAUUAUACAAAUUUUAUACAUUUUUUCUGUUACCAGAUGUAAAUAGUUUCUGACGGUGGCUAAAAGUAAUAAUACCUCUUUCUUUUUCUUAAAAUUAAAUGUACUCCCAUUUACCUCUGUCUUUUCUGUAUGUUCCUUUUCUAAUCAAUUAAGAAGAUGUUUGUCCCACUUGAAGUCUGAUUCGUAAUAUUUAUUUCUGGUCUGGAAAUACUGGUGGUACCGAAAUAUUUUACUUGUCCGACAAAGAAAUAAAUGUCUGUAUAAAUGAAUAUUGACCAGAUGUCCAGAUCCAAAAAAAGAGUCUUUUAGCAUCAUAAGUUUAUACACACUCCCAC